GUGGGGAAUAUUGGACAAUGGGCGCAAGCCUGAUCCAGCCAUGCCGCGUGUGUGAAGAAGGCCUUUUGGUUGUAAAGCACUUUAAGCGAGGAGGAGGCUCCUUUAGUUAAUACCUAAAGAGAGUGGACGUUACUCGCAGAAUAAGCACCGGCUAACUCUGUGCCAGCAGCCGCGGUAAUACAGAGGGUGCGAGCGUUAAUCGGAUUUACUGGGCGUAAAGCGUGCGUAGGCGGCUUUUUAAGUCGGAUGUGAAAUCCCUGAGCUUAACUUAGGAAUUGCAUUCGAUACUGGUUGGCUAGAGUAUGGGAGAGGAUGGUAGAAUUCCAGGUGUAGCGGUGAAAUGCGUAGAGAUCUGGAGGAAUACCGAUGGCGAAGGCAGCCAUCUGGCCUAAUACUGACACUGAGGUGCGAAAGCAUGGGGAGCAAACAGGAUUAGAUACCCUAGUAGUCC
Molecule: ribosomal RNA, 451 nt
Filed under: uncultured bacterium
Lineage: Bacteria
Description: partial 16S ribosomal RNA
Rfam family: Bacterial small subunit ribosomal RNA
Source: RNAcentral